This 493-nucleotide ribosomal RNA is filed under the name Scraptia sp. UPOL ZL0187. RNAcentral's name for it is "partial 16S ribosomal RNA". It matches the Rfam family "Bacterial large subunit ribosomal RNA", at positions 1846 to 2600 of the family's 2925-position model. The record is from RNAcentral. Lineage: Eukaryota; Metazoa; Arthropoda; Insecta; Coleoptera; Scraptiidae.
UUUAAAGUCAGGCCUGCUCAAUGAAUAUAUUUAAAUAGCUGCAGUAUAUUGACUGUACAAAGGUAGCAUAAUCAUUAGUUUUUUAAUUGAAAGCUGGAAUGAAGGGUUUAAUGAAAAAAUUGCUGUCUCUUAAUAAAUUUAUAGAAUUUUAUUUUUAAGUGAAAAAGCUUAAAUUAAUUAAAAAGACGAGAAGACCCUAUAGAGUUUAAUUUUUUAGAUUAAAUAAUAUUUUUGGAUAUUUUGGUUUUAUUUUUCAAGAAAAUUUUAUUGGGGUGAUAAUUAAAUUUAUAAAACUUUAAAUUUUUAAUCCAUAUAUUAAUGAAUAAUUGAUCCUAGUUUAGGAUUAAAAGAAUAAAUUACCUUAGGGAUAACAGCGUAAUUUUUUUUGAGAGUUCAAAUCGAAAAAAAAGAUUGCGACCUCGAUGUUGGAUUAAAAUUAAAUUAGGGUGCAGAAGUUCUAAUUUUAAGUCUGUUCGACUUUUAAAAUUUUACA